GACGAACGCUGGCGGCGUGCUUAACACAUGCAAGUCGAGCGAUGAAGCUUCUUCGGAAGUGGAUUAGCGGCGGACGGGUGAGUAACACGUGGGUAACCUGCCUCAUAGAGGGGAAUAGCCUUUCGAAAGGAAGAUUAAUACCGCAUAAGAUUGUAGUACCGCAUGGUACAGCAAUUAAAGGAGUAAUCCGCUAUGAGAUGGACCCGCGUCGCAUUAGCUAGUUGGUGAGGUAACGGCUCACCAAGGCGACGAUGCGUAGCCGACCUGAGAGGGUGAUCGGCCACAUUGGGACUGAGACACGGCCCAGACUCCUACGGGAGGCAGCAGUGGGGAAUAUUGCACAAUGGGGGAAACCCUGAUGCAGCAACGCCGCGUGAGUGAUGACGGCCUUCGGGUUGUAAAGCUCUGUCUUUGGGGACGAUAAUGACGGUACCCAAGGAGGAAGCCACGGCUAACUACGUGCCAGCCGCCGCCGUAACAC
This 481-nucleotide ribosomal RNA is filed under the name uncultured bacterium. Its description in RNAcentral is "bacterial SSU rRNA". It matches the Rfam family "Bacterial small subunit ribosomal RNA", at positions 28 to 526 of the family's 1533-position model. The record is from RNAcentral.